AGCGGAUGAAAGGAGCUUGCUCCUGGAUUCAGCGGCGGACGGGUGAGUAAUGCCUAUGAAUCUGCCUGGUAGUGGGGGACAACGUUUCGAAGGGAACGCUAAUACCGCAUACGUCCUACGGGAGAAAGCAGGGGACCUUCCGGCCUUGCGCUAUCAGAUGAGCCUAGGUCGGAUUAGCUAGUUGGUGAGGGAAUGGCUCACCAAGGCGACGAUCCGUAACUGGUCUGAGAGGAUGAUCAGUCACACUGGAACUGAGACACGGUCCAGACUCCUACGGGAGGCAGCAGUGGGGAAUAUUGGACAAUGGGCGAAAGCCUGAUCCAGCCAUGCCGCGUGUGUGAAGAAGGUCUUCGGAUUGUAAAGCACUUUAAGUUGGGAGGAAGGGUUGUAGAUUAAUACUCUGCAAUUUUGACGUUACCGACAGAAUAAGCACCGGCUAACUCUGUGCCAGCAGCCGCGGUAAUACAGAGGGUGCAAGCGUUAAUCGGAAUUACUGGGCGUAAAGCGCGCGUAGGUGGUUUGUUAAGUUGGAUGUGAAAUCCCCGGGCUCAACCUGGGAACUGCAUCCAAAACUGGCAAGCUAGAGUAUGGUAGAGGGUGGUGGAAUUUCCUGUGUAGCGGUGAAAUGCGUAGAUAUAGGAAGGAACAACCAGUGGCGAAGGCGACCACCUGGACUGAUACUGACACUGAGGUGCGAAAGCGUGGGGAGCAAACAGGAUUAGAUAUCCUGGUAGUCCACGCCGUAAACGAUGUCAACUAGUCGUGGGAGCCUUGAUCUCUAAUGGCUCAGCUAACGCAUUAAGUUGACCGCCUGGGGAGUACGGCCGCAAGGUUAAAACUCACAAUGAUUGACUGGGGGCCCGCCCCAAGCAGUUGGAUCAUGUGUGUUUAUUUCUCAGCACCGUAAGAACCAUACUAGGCCUUUGUCAUCCAAUGAACUUUCCGAGACGAUUGGUGCUCUUC
Molecule: ribosomal RNA, 963 nt
Filed under: Pseudomonas sp. III-116-13
Lineage: Bacteria; Pseudomonadati; Pseudomonadota; Gammaproteobacteria; Pseudomonadales; Pseudomonadaceae
Description: bacterial SSU rRNA
Rfam family: Bacterial small subunit ribosomal RNA
Source: RNAcentral